This 613-nucleotide long non-coding RNA is filed under the name Nicotiana tabacum (common tobacco). RNAcentral describes it as "long non-coding RNA (NTAB_LNC012344)". The record is from RNAcentral. Lineage: Eukaryota; Viridiplantae; Streptophyta; Magnoliopsida; Solanales; Solanaceae.
CUGAGAUGAAGCCGCCCAUGGCCUCAAACUGCUGAAUGACGCGCCGGAGCUCAAAACGACCGGUCGGGUCGUUACAUUGACACAUAGAAUUGAUGAAACUUCUUUAUUCCAACUUCCAGUUCAGUUACAUGGCAGCGAGUUCAAAAAUGGUACCUGAAAAUGGAAUAUGUAACAGAAGAAGAAGAUCAGCAGCAACACGAGCAGCAGUCAAUAAACCAGAAUUCAGCUCAAACUAGGAAUAGUAUUUGAAAAUAAAUCACACCCCAAACAAAACACCACUAAUCGACUGAAAUGCACCCAAAUAGACUCGAAAUACUUCCAAAAUACUUCAGCAGACCCAGAAAUCAAGCUAUAAGACAGAAUUUGAAAGCUAGAACUCAGCCACUAACUGAAAACCUCAAUGAAACAGUAGGUUCCUCAUUUUUUUUUAGUUUUCUGGAGAUUUCUACUGUGUUUGGGAUUUUUGGUUUGAAUUCAAAAGCUAACUCUGAAACUGAAAAAAUGAAAGAAAAAAGUUCAGUGUGAGAUUUUUAGGGGCUGAAAAGAAGACCCCUUCCUAAGGCACGAGAAUGCCAAUUUAUAGGCAACAUAAGAGUCAAUAAUAAGAUUUUUU